Long non-coding RNA from Pan troglodytes (chimpanzee), 2047 nucleotides. RefSeq lists it as uncharacterized. Lineage: Eukaryota; Metazoa; Chordata; Mammalia; Primates; Hominidae. The transcript has 2 exons. The record is from RefSeq and is a predicted model, not a curated record.
GGUGCGGUGGGGUGCAGAGAAAACAAUGGAUUGCGAUCUUAAUUGCCUUUUAGCUUCAUUCAUACCCUGUUAUUUGCUUGUUUAUUCUCAUGGGUUAUUCUGUGUCACUGUCAUGUUCCUCGUUUGCUUGCCUGCUUGCUUGUUUAUUUCCUUCCUUCCUUCCUUCCUUCCUUCCUUCCUUCCUUCCCUCCCUCCCUCCCUCCCUCCCUCCCUCCCUUACUGGCAGGGUCUUCCUCUGUCUCUGCCGCCCAGGAUCACCCCAACCUCAAUGCUUUGGACCGACCAAACGGUCGUCCUGCCUCUGAUCCCUCCCAUCCCCAUUACCUGAGACCACAGGCACGCACCACCACACCGGCUGACUUCUAUGUUGCUUCUCCUGUUUUCCGUAGGUAGGUAUGUAUGUGUGGGUAUGUAUGUAUGUACGUAUGUAUGUACGUAUGUAUGUAUGUAUGUGAGUGAGAUGGGUUUCGGGAUUCUAUCAUGUUGCCCACGCUGGUCUCGAACUCCUGUCCUCAAGCAAUCCGCCUGCCUGCCUCGGCCGCCCACACUGCUGCUAUUACAGGCGUGAGACGCUGCGCCUGGCUCCUUCUACGUUUGCCUGCCUGCCUGCCUGCCUGCCUGCCUGCCUACCUAUCAAUCGUCUUCUUUUUAGUACGGAUGUGCUCUCGCUUUGUUGUCCAUGCUCUGGGCACACGUGAUCUCUUUUUAAACUUCUAUGAUUAUGAUGAUUGUAGGCGUCAUCUCACGUGUCGGGGUGAUCUCCAACUUUUAGGCUCCAGAGAUCCUCCCGCAUCGGCCUCCCGGAGUGCUGUGAUGACACGCGUGGGCACGACGGAGUUUCACUCUUGUCGCCCAGGGUGGAGGACGAUGGCGGAUCUCGGCUCACCGCACCCUCCGCCUCCCAGGUUCAAGGGAUUCUCCUGCCUCAGCCUUCCCGAGUAGCUGCGAUGACAGCGAUGAGCCAUCGUGCCUGGCUAAUUUUUCUAUUCCUAGUACAGAUGGGGUUUCUCCAUCUUGGUUAGGCUGGUCUUCAACUUCCGACCGUUGGAGGAUCUUAACUUUCUUGGUGGUGGUUGCUUUUCUUUUUCUUUUUUUCUUUUCUUUUCUUUCCUUCUCCUUCCCCCCCCCCAACCCCCCUUGUCGUCGUCGUCGUCCUCCUCCUCCUCCUCCUCCUCCUCCUCCUCCUCUUUCAUUUCUUUCAGCUGGGCUCUCCUACUUGUGUUGCUCUGUUGCUCACGCUGGUCUCAAACUCCUGGCCUUGACACUUCUCGCGUCACAUCCGCCGUCUGCUUGUUGAAAUGAGCAUCUCUCGUAAAAUGGAAAAGAUGAAAGAGAUAAACACGAAGACGGAAAGCACGGUGUGAACGUUUCUCUUGCCGUCUCCCGGGGUGUACCUUGGACGCGGAAACACGGAGGGAGCUUGGCUGAGUGGGUUUUCGGUGCCGAAACCUCCCGAGGGCCUCCUUCCCUCUCCCCCUUGUCCCCGCUUCUCCCCCAGCCGAGGCUCCCACCGCCGCCCUGGCAUUUUCCACAGGAGAGGUAUAGGGAGAGGACUGACACGCCUUCCGCAUCUAUAUCCUGCCGGACGUCUCUGGCUCGGCGUGCCCCACCGGCUACCUGCCACCUUCCAGGGAGCUCUGAGGCGGAUGCGACCACCCCCGCCCCCCCGUCACGUCCCGCUACCCUCCCCCGGCUGGCCUUUGCCGGGCGACCCCAGGGGAACCGCGUUGACGCUGCCCUCGGAUCCUCCGGCGAAGACUUCCACCGCAUGCCCCGGGUGGGCCGGUUGGGAUGAGACUGGACCACCCCGGACCGUGCUGUUCUUGGGGGUGGGCUGACGUACGGGGUGGACUGGCGGCCCCAGCAUUGUAAAGGGUGCGUGGGUAUGGAAAUGUCACGUAGGAUGCCCUCCUUCCCUUCGGUCUGCCUUCAGCUGCCUCAGGCGUGAAGACAACUUCCCAUCGGAACCUCUUCUCUUCCCUUUCUCCAGCACACAGAUGAGACGCGUGAGAGGGAGAAACAGCUCAAUAGAUACUGCUGACCUUCA